This 451-nucleotide ribosomal RNA is filed under the name uncultured bacterium. RNAcentral describes it as "partial 16S ribosomal RNA". It matches the Rfam family "Bacterial small subunit ribosomal RNA", at positions 28 to 507 of the family's 1533-position model. The record is from RNAcentral.
GAUGAACGCUGGCGGCGUGCCUAACACAUGCAAGUCGAGCGGCAGCGCGGGGUGCUUGCACCCUGUCGGCGAGCGGCGGACGGCUGAGUAACGCGUGGGAACGUGCCCCAAAGUGAGGAAUAACUGCCCGAAAGGGUAGCUAAUACCGCAUAUUAUCUUCGGAUCAAAGGAUUUAUCCGCUUUGGGAGCGGCUCGCGUCGGAUUAGGUAGUUGGUGAGGUAAUGGCUCACCAAGCCGACGAUCCGUAGCUGGUCUGAGAGGAUGACCAGCCAGACUGGAACUGAGACACGGUCCAGACUCCUACGGGAGGCAGCAGUGAGGAAUCUUCCACAAUGGGCGAAAGCCUGAUGGAGCAACGCCGCGUGCAGGACGAAGGCCUUCGGGUUGUAAACUGCUUUUAUAAGUGAGGAAUAUGACGGUAACUUAUGAAUAAGGGUCGGCUAACUACGUG